This 459-nucleotide ribosomal RNA is filed under the name uncultured bacterium. Its description in RNAcentral is "partial 16S ribosomal RNA". It matches the Rfam family "Bacterial small subunit ribosomal RNA", at positions 28 to 523 of the family's 1533-position model. The record is from RNAcentral.
GAUGAAUGCUGGCGGUGUGCCUAAUACAUGCAAGUCGAGCGGAAAGGCCCCUUCGGGGGUACUCGAGCGGCGGACGGCUGAGUAACGCGUAGGAACGUACCCCAAACUGAGGGAUAAUCCACCGAAAGGUGGACUAAUACCGCAUGUGCUCUUCGGAGGGAAGCUUCGGCGGUUUGGGAACGGCCUGCGUCCGAUUAGGUUGUUGGUGAGGUAAUGGCUCACCAAGCCUACGAUCGGUAGCUGGUCUGAGAGGAUGAUCAGCCAGACUGGGACUGAGACACGGCCCAGACUCCUACGGGAGGCAGCAGUAGGGAAUUUUCCACAAUGGGCGAAAGCCUGAUGGAGCAACACCGCGUGCAGGAUGAAGGCUUUCGGGUCGUAAACUGCUUUUACUAGUGACGAAUAUGACGGUAACUAGAGAAUAAGGAUCGGCUAACUACGUGCCAGCAGCCGCGGUAA